Molecule: ribosomal RNA, 676 nt
Filed under: Odorrana grahami (Yunnanfu frog)
Lineage: Eukaryota; Metazoa; Chordata; Amphibia; Anura; Ranidae
Description: partial 12S ribosomal RNA
Rfam family: Bacterial small subunit ribosomal RNA
Source: RNAcentral
CUCAAGUUGAAGAUCAUCGGCGUUAAGCGUGAUUAAAGUUCUCUUAGAUUAGGGCCAAAUUAAUAUUUAGUUGUUUAAAGCUUAUUAUUAAGAAGAACACAAACGAAAGUUGCCCUAACCCACACACUUGAAUACACGACAGCUGGGGAACAAACUGGGAUCAGAUACCCCACUAUGCCCAGCCGUAAACAAUUAAUCCACAACCACAAGCGCCAGGGAAUUACGAGCCAAGCUUAAAACCCAAAGGAUUUGACGGUGUCCCACCCCCCUAGAGGAGCCUGUUCUAUAAUCGAUGAUCCCCGCUACACCCGACCAUUUCUUGCUUACAUCAGUCUGUAUACCUCCGUCGAAAGCUUACCAUGUGAACGCCCCCCACAGUAGGUUCAAUGACCCCCGUCAAUACGUCAGGUCAAGGUGCAGCUUAAGAAAUGGGAAGCGAUGGGCUACAAUUUCUAACCUAGAACAAACGAAAGGCUAUGUGAAAUCAUAGUCACGAAGGCGGAUUUAGUAGUAAAAAGAAAAUAGAGUGUUCUUUUUAACCUGGCUCUGGGACGCGUACACACCGCCCGUCGCCCUCUUCGAUAGUGCUAACCCACAGUCCAUAACCUAUUUAUACGUCUGAGAAGAGGCAAGUCGUAACAUGGUAAGUGUACUGGAAAGUGCACUUGGUAUAUUA